GAUGAACGCUGGCGGCGUGCUUAACACAUGCAAGUCGAACGAUGAAGCCCAGCUUGCUGGGUGGAUUAGUGGCGAACGGGUGAGUAACACGUGAGUAACCUGCCCUUAACUCUGGGAUAAGCCUGGGAAACUGGGUCUAAUACCGGAUAGGAGCGUCCACCGCAUGGUGGGUGUUGGAAAGAUUUAUCGGUUUUGGAUGGACUCGCGGCCUAUCAGCUUGUUGGUGAGGUAAUGGCUCACCAAGGCGACGACGGGUAGCCGGCCUGAGAGGGGGACCGGCCACACUGGGACUGAGACACGGCCCAGACGCCUACGGGAGGCAGCAGUGGGGAAUAUUGCACAAUGGGCGCAAGCCUGAUGCAGCGACGCCGCGUGAGGGAUGACGGCCUUCGGGUUGUAAACCGCUUUCAGUAGGGAAGAAGCGAAAGUGACGGUACCUGCAGAAGAAGCACCGGCUAACUACGUG
This 466-nucleotide ribosomal RNA is filed under the name uncultured bacterium. RNAcentral's name for it is "partial 16S ribosomal RNA". It matches the Rfam family "Bacterial small subunit ribosomal RNA", at positions 28 to 507 of the family's 1533-position model. The record is from RNAcentral.